UGGGGGAUAUUGCACAAUGGGCGAAAGCCUGAUGCAGCGACGCCGCGUGGGGGAUGAAGGCUUUCGGGUUGUAAACCUCUUUCGCUAUCGAACAAGGCCCGCUUAGGGUGGGUUGAGGGUAGGUGGAGAAGAAGCGCCGGCUAACUACGUGCCAGCAGCCGCGGUAAUACGUAGGGCGCGAGCGUUGUCCGGAAUUAUUGGGCGUAAAGGGCUUGUAGGCGGCUUGUUGCGCCUGCUGUGAAAACGCGGGGCUUAACUUCGCGCGUGCAGUGGGUACGGGCAGGCUUGAGUGUGGUAGGGGUGACUGGAAUUCCAGGUGUAGCUGUGGAAUGCGCAGAUAUCUGGAGGAACACCGAUGGCGAAGGCAGGUCACUGGGCCAUUACUGACGCUGAGGAGCGAAAGCAUGGGUAGCGAACAGG
Molecule: ribosomal RNA, 420 nt
Filed under: bacterium
Lineage: Bacteria
Description: partial 16S ribosomal RNA
Rfam family: Bacterial small subunit ribosomal RNA
Source: RNAcentral